This 498-nucleotide ribosomal RNA is filed under the name uncultured bacterium. RNAcentral describes it as "partial 16S ribosomal RNA". It matches the Rfam family "Bacterial small subunit ribosomal RNA", at positions 28 to 508 of the family's 1533-position model. The record is from RNAcentral.
GAUGAACGCUGGCGGCGUGCCUAAUACAUGCAAGUCGAGCGAACAGACGAGGAGCUUGCUCCUCUGACGUUAGCGGCGGACGGGUGAGUAACACGUGGAUAACCUACCUAUAAGACUGGGAUAACUUCGGGAAACCGGAGCUAAUACCGGAUAAUAUAUUGAACCGCAUGGUUCAAUAGUGAAAGACGGUUUUGCCGUCACUUAUAGAUGGAUCCGCGCCGCAUUAGCUAGUUGGUAAGGUAACGGCUUACCAAGGCAACGAUGCGUAGCCGACCUGAGAGGGUGAUCGGCCACACUGGAACUGAGACACGGUCCAGACUCCUACGGGAGGCAGCAGUAGGGAAUCUUCCGCAAUGGGCGAAAGCCUGACGGAGCAACGCCGCGUGAGUGAUGAAGGUCUUCGGAUCGUAAAACUCUGUUAUUAGGGAAGAACAAAUGUGUAAGUAACUAUGCACGUCUUGACGGUACCUAAUCAGAAAGCCACGGCUAACUACGUGC